This 258-nucleotide ribosomal RNA is filed under the name uncultured bacterium. Its description in RNAcentral is "partial 16S ribosomal RNA". It matches the Rfam family "Bacterial small subunit ribosomal RNA", at positions 524 to 776 of the family's 1533-position model. The record is from RNAcentral.
UACGUAGGGACCGAGCGUUGUCCGGAUUCAUUGGGCGUAAAGAGCUCGUAGGCGGCCACUCAAGUCGAAUGUGAACCUACGAGGCUAAGCCUUCGAACUCCGUAGCCACUUCGAUACUGGGCGGCUAGAGUCUGGUAGGGGGAUCGUGGAAUUCCUGGUGUAGCGGUGGAAUGCGCAGAUAUCAGGAGGAACACCGGUGGCGAAGGCGGGAUCCUGGGCCAGUACUGACGCUGAGAGCGAAAGCGUGGGAGCAACAGG